RNAcentral lists this ribosomal RNA (256 nucleotides) under uncultured bacterium. RNAcentral's name for it is "partial 16S ribosomal RNA". It matches the Rfam family "Bacterial small subunit ribosomal RNA", at positions 524 to 776 of the family's 1533-position model. The record is from RNAcentral.
CACGUAGGGUGCAAGCGUUAUCCGGAAUUAUUGGGCGUAAAAGAGCUCGUAGGCGGUUUGUCGCGCCUGCUGUGAAAACCCGAGGCUCAACCUCGGGCCUGCAGUGGGUACGGGCAGACUAGAGUGCGGUAGGGGAGAUUGGAAUUCCUGGUGUAGCGGUGGAAUGCGCAGAUAUCAGGAGGAACACCGAUGGGCGAAGGCAGAUCUCUGGGCCGUAACUGACGCUGAGGAGCGAAAGCAUGGGGGAGCGAACAGG